AAGAACUGAUUUGAAUCAUCACUGAACUGACUGGAUUAUCGAAAGAAAUGGAUAUCGAAAUGAGUAUGAUGUUAUCUGGAAACCUCUAUCCUCUAAGACCAUUGAACCUGUAUUCUCCCCACCUACAUGCUGGGAUUAUGUGGUACAGAACAGCAUGAAAUGCCCAUUUAUAAUACAUUUGUGUCAAGAAUCCACAGAACACAUGAAAGGCCAAGACAUGAGAUCUAAAUGUACUGGCCAUCAACCUGGUGCUUUGAUUCUUUGGUUCUGUAUCCCGACACCAUCGAAAGGAGACCAACAGCAUAGAUCGGUGAGG
This is a non-coding RNA of Chiloscyllium plagiosum (whitespotted bambooshark), 316 nucleotides long. Lineage: Eukaryota; Metazoa; Chordata; Chondrichthyes; Orectolobiformes; Hemiscylliidae. The record is from RefSeq and is a predicted model, not a curated record.